RNAcentral lists this ribosomal RNA (253 nucleotides) under uncultured bacterium. Its description in RNAcentral is "partial 16S ribosomal RNA". It matches the Rfam family "Bacterial small subunit ribosomal RNA", at positions 524 to 776 of the family's 1533-position model. The record is from RNAcentral.
GACAGAGGGUGCAAACGUUGUUCGGAAUUACUGGGCGUAAAGCGUGUGUAGGCGGUCUGCUAAGUCGGGUGUGAAAGCCCUGGGCUCAACCCAGGAAGUGCACUCGAAACUGGCAGGCUAGAGUAUCGGAGAGGUUGGUGGAAUUCUCGGUGUAGAGGUGAAAUUCGUAGAUAUCGAGAGGAACACCGGUGGCGAAGGCGGCCAACUGGACGAAUACUGACGCUGAGACACGAAAGCGUGGGGAGCAAACAGG